This is a long non-coding RNA of Thalassophryne amazonica, 971 nucleotides long. RefSeq lists it as uncharacterized. The transcript is spliced from 3 exons. The record is from RefSeq and is a predicted model, not a curated record. NCBI's taxonomy places the organism in Eukaryota, Metazoa, Chordata, Actinopteri, Batrachoidiformes, Batrachoididae.
GGAGGUGGUUUUUUCAGUGAGAAAAGCGCCUUUGAAAGCUCACAGUCAUUUUUGAGAGCUGUUGUCUGUUCCAGAAGAGUGGUGUGGAGUGAGAGGAGGGAAAGUGCAUGAGGGAGAGAACCAGAGAAAAGCAGAAACACACAAGAGACAAAAAACAUGAAAAACUUGUCUCUUCCUCAGCAGUGGCCAAUUAGGGCUGUGAAAAAGUGAAGAAGCCCAGUGUGAAACUGUGUUCUGUUGUUUUUUCCUUUUGUGUUUCUCACUCCUGUAGCUUUCUAAUCACACUGAACCACGCCUCCUCUCUGCUCUGUAUCCUGUCGGAUCACAGCAAUUACUCGAGCAGGAUCUGCUCAGUUUCCCCACUAGGGAGAUUUUUGGAACUUGAAGAAAAAGGUUUUCACUGGGACAAAGUCUGUGUCUGAACUUAGAUCUGUCCCACGAGGUUACGUUAAUGACCAGGUGACACAGUGUCCUUACAUGGAACGGUGAGGCUGCGGCCCCACUGCUGAUGGCACCAAAUAAAGCUUCAUCCACUCAAAAGCUCCAUUGUUUAUGCCGUGCACCUCUGCUUUCAAGUGCUGCGAGGCGGUAAACAAACUGAAAGGCACCUUGGUGGAAAAACUUCUCGUACAUUUGUCUCCAGACACGGUUACUGCAAACCAUGAGCAUGCUCUGCCUGUUUAGUGACUGUGUCUGGAGUUGGUGGUGGGAGGGAGGACAGAUGGCUGCAGGGUGAAGGAUGAGGAGGACAAAGAAGACGGAGCAUUAUAUGAGAUGUGCUUGGAAGACUGGAUGCUGAAUCCCAACACUUUCGCUCAUUUUCUCAUGCUUCCAUCUCAAACUGCCCAAAUGAGCCUGAAACACGAAGCCUCUGCAAAACGUCAAAGCACAAAUUUUUCCCUUUCUUUUAUGGAAUUCUGGCAUGGAAGUGUGAUUUCCACUCGAUACAAAAUCCCAGGAAUGGCAGAGCA